This 254-nucleotide ribosomal RNA is filed under the name uncultured bacterium. RNAcentral's name for it is "partial 16S ribosomal RNA". It matches the Rfam family "Bacterial small subunit ribosomal RNA", at positions 524 to 776 of the family's 1533-position model. The record is from RNAcentral.
GACGAACCGUGCGAACGUUAUUCGGAAUCACUGGGCUUAAAGGGCGCGUAGGCGGGCAGGCAAGUCGAAGGUGAAAUCCCACGGCUCAACCGUGGAAGUGCCCCCGAUACUGCCUGUCUGGAGGGAGAUAGGGGCGUGCGGAACUUCCGGUGGAGCGGUGAAAUGCGUAGAUAUCGGAAGGAACACCGGUGGCGAAAGCGGCGCGCUGGAUCUCUUCUGACGCUGAGGCGCGAAAGCCAGGGGAGCGGAACGGG